This 497-nucleotide ribosomal RNA is filed under the name uncultured bacterium. RNAcentral's name for it is "partial 16S ribosomal RNA". It matches the Rfam family "Bacterial small subunit ribosomal RNA", at positions 28 to 507 of the family's 1533-position model. The record is from RNAcentral.
GAUGAACGCUGGCGGCGUGCCUAAUACAUGCAAGUCGAGCGAACAGACGAGGAGCUUGCUCCUCUGACGUUAGCGGCGGACGGGUGAGUAACACGUGGAUAACCUACCUAUAAGACUGGGAUAACUUCGGGAAACCGGAGCUAAUACCGGAUAAUAUAUUGAACCGCAUGGUUCAAUAGUGAAAGACGGUUUUGCUGUCACUUAUAGAUGGAUCCGCGCCGCAUUAGCUAGUUGGUAAGGUAACGGCUUACCAAGGCAACGAUGCGUAGCCGACCUGAGAGGGUGAUCGGCCACACUGGAACUGGGACACGGUCCAGACUCCUACGGGAGGCAGCGGUAGGGAGUCUUCCGCAAUGGGCGAAAGCUUGACGGAGCAACGCCGCGUGAGUGAUGAAGGUCUUCGGAUCGUAAAACUCUGUUAUUAGGGAAGAACAAAUGUGUAAGUAACUAUGCACGUCUUGACGGUACCUAAUCAGAAAGCCACGGCUAACUACGUG